AGUGAACGCUGGCGGUAGGCCUAACACAUGCAAGUCGAACGGCAGCACAGUAAGAGCUUGCUCUUACGGGUGGCGGGUGGCGGACGGGUGAGGAAUACAUCGGAAUCUACUUUUUCGUGGGGGAUAACGUAGGGAAACUUACGCUAAUACCGCAUACGACCUACGGGUGAAAGCAGGGGAUCUUCGGACCUUGCGCGAUUGAAUGAGCCGAGGUCGGAUUAGCUAGUUGGCGGGGUAAAGGCCCACCAAGGCGACGAUCCGUAGCUGGUCUGAGAGGAUGAUCAGCCACACUGGAACUGAGACACGGUCCAGACUCCUACGGGAGGCAGCAGUGGGGAAUAUUGGACAAUGGGCGCAAGCCUGAUCCAGCCAUACCGCGUGGGUGAAGAAGGCCUUCGGGUUGUAAAGCCCUUUUGUUGGGAAAGAAAAGCAGCAGGUUAAUACCCCGCUGUUCUGACGGUACCCAAAGAAUAAGCACCGGCUAACUUCGUG
This 492-nucleotide ribosomal RNA is filed under the name uncultured bacterium. RNAcentral describes it as "partial 16S ribosomal RNA". It matches the Rfam family "Bacterial small subunit ribosomal RNA", at positions 29 to 507 of the family's 1533-position model. The record is from RNAcentral.